Molecule: transfer RNA, 83 nt
Filed under: Myxococcales bacterium
Lineage: Bacteria; Pseudomonadati; Myxococcota; Myxococcia; Myxococcales
Also listed under: 1 other name
Description: tRNA-Leu
Rfam family: tRNA
About the family: Transfer RNA (tRNA) molecules are approximately 80 nucleotides in length. Their secondary structure includes four short double-helical elements and three loops (D, anti-codon, and T loops).
Source: RNAcentral
GGCCCCUUGGCGGAAUGGCAUACGCAGAGGAUUUAAAAUCCUUGGCCCGGAAGGGCGUGCCGGUUCGAGUCCGGCAGGGGCUA